UUGCUACGGAAUAACGCAGGGAAACUUGUGCUAAUACCGUAUGUGUCCUUCGGGAGAAAGAUUUAUCGGCAAGAGAUGAGCCCGCGUUGGAUUAGCUAGUUGGUGGGGUAAAGGCCUACCAAGGCGACGAUCCAUAGCUGGUCUGAGAGGAUGAUCAGCCACAUUGGGACUGAGACACGGCCCAAACUCCUACGGGAGGCAGCAGUGGGGAAUAUUGGACAAUGGGCGCAAGCCUGAUCCAGCCAUGCCGCGUGAGUGAUGAAGGCCCUAGGGUUGUAAAGCUCUUUCACCGGAGAAGAUAAUGACGGUAUCCGGAGAAGAAGCCCCGGCUAACUUCGUGCCAGCAGCCGCGGUAAUACGAAGGGGGCUAGCGUUGUUCGGAAUUACUGGGCGUAAAGC
Molecule: ribosomal RNA, 399 nt
Filed under: Rhizobium sp.
Lineage: Bacteria; Pseudomonadati; Pseudomonadota; Alphaproteobacteria; Hyphomicrobiales; Rhizobiaceae
Description: bacterial SSU rRNA
Rfam family: Bacterial small subunit ribosomal RNA
Source: RNAcentral